This 259-nucleotide ribosomal RNA is filed under the name Aurantiochytrium limacinum. Its description in RNAcentral is "partial Eukaryotic large subunit ribosomal RNA". It matches the Rfam family "Eukaryotic large subunit ribosomal RNA", at positions 644 to 905 of the family's 3401-position model. The record is from RNAcentral. Lineage: Eukaryota; Bigyra; Thraustochytrida; Thraustochytriidae.
CUGGCCCGUCUUGAAACACGGACCAAGGAGUCUAACAUCUAUGCGAGUGUUCGGGUGUCAAACCCCUGCGCGUAAUGAAAGUGAACGGAGGUGGGAACCCGCAAGGGUGCACCAUCGACCGAUCCUGAUGUCUUCGGAUGGAUUUGAGUAAGAGCAUAGCUGUUGGGACCCGAAAGAUGGUGAACUAUGCUUGGGAAAGGCGAAGCCAGGGGAAACUCUGGUGGAGGCUCGUAGCGAUUCUGACGUGCAAAUCGAUCGU